Pyrus x bretschneideri (Chinese white pear) is the source of this 1484-nucleotide long non-coding RNA. RefSeq lists it as uncharacterized. The transcript has 3 exons. The record is from RefSeq and is a predicted model, not a curated record. Lineage: Eukaryota; Viridiplantae; Streptophyta; Magnoliopsida; Rosales; Rosaceae.
UUCGGCGCCUUAACUCUCUCUCUCUCAAUCUCUUUCUCGAUUCUAUCUCAGACUCACUCAAAUUUGGGCUCCUGUCUCUCGAUUCUCUCAAGCUCAUAUGUCACUCUCUUGCACUGUCUUUAUCUCAGACUCACUAUCUCAAGCUCAUCUCUCCCUUUCUCGCAGUCUCUCUGUCACUCCCCCUUUUGCAUCCGUAGCACUUCGACGCCACACCCUCUCCUUGCCGCCGCCACAACAUUACUAGCUGGAUGUGGCAUCUGUGGAAGGCAAGGAUUUCUGCGAGUAUUGGCAGAUGCUCUGUGCCCGGUUUCGUGGUAAUGACCGAAGGGAGGAACUGAUGCAGGAGUGUGUGUUUAUCAUGUGGUGCAUAUGGAAGAGCAGGAAUGAAAUGGUGUUUAAGGGAAUCUUGGCUAAUCCCAUGGAGAUGGUGAAUUUGGUAAGGGGUCAUAUCUUGGAGUUUAGAGCUGGGCAAUGCAAUAAGCGGAGUGAAGAUGGUGGUGCCACGGAGGGGAGUGUUGACAGCUUUGCAGGGUUACGGGUUCGAUGGAAGAGGCCUCCUUUUGGGGUGAUGAAGAUCAAUUGUGAUGGUGCAUGGUGUGGAAAGACAUGCAAGGGUAGUUAUGGAUGGGUUUUGCAGGAUUUCGCUGGCUUGUUGCAAGCUGCUGGUGGGGAAGGGGGGUUAUUCUUUAACUCGGCAGCAAUGGCAGAAGCUGCUGCUAUCCGUGUAGCUUUGCGGGUCUGUUGCGAGCUGGGUUAUGCGGAUGUGGAACUUGAAUCUGAUUCUUAGGUUCUUAUUCGAAUGCUUACGGGAGAGUACAUGAUCGAUGCUACUUUGGAAUGCGUUAUUCAUGAUAUACCUCUUCUGGUAUCUCAAUUUUGAAGGGUGAGGUUUGGUUUUGUUAAGCGGUGUGGAAAUGCUGCUGCGCAUGCCGUGGCCUCAUAUGUGGCCUCACAUGAAGGUGCUUUUCGUUGGGAUGCAAUUGGUCAGAUGUCGAACUUAAUAUCAAACCAGCGAGCAGUUAGUAGGGGUAGCUAGACACCUUCUCUGGGAGGUAAUGUUGCUGCCACCUCCACACCUGAUAUGGGCACGACAGGUGUCCUUCUGGUCACGCCAUUGGGGCCAAUGGUGUCUACGGUUCAUGCGUCAUCAAAUUCUUCGGUGAUGCAUCCUAUCUUAAGCGCCUAACAGACUCAUCGACGGCCCUGGAGUUCUGAGGAGGCUCAACCGUCUGGUGAGGCUUCCUCUGUCCAUGGAGAGGGGUCCCAGAUAGGUAAGCUUGCUCUGUCCAUUGAUAUGCCUGCUUCUGGUUCCAUCUUUAUUCAUAGCCAUAAUGAUAUGUUCCUUACAAAUAUAUGAGUGGCACAUGUGGUUUGUAAUAUUUUCUCAAGUUUUGGCUUGCAAAUUGACUGCAAACAAUAAUUCAGAAUAGUCUCCAUUAUUCGGUCGAAUAAGAAGCUUCUUAACUGAUCCGAUUCACGAUGCU